Molecule: non-coding RNA, 19 nt
Filed under: Callorhinchus milii (elephant shark)
Lineage: Eukaryota; Metazoa; Chordata; Chondrichthyes; Chimaeriformes; Callorhinchidae
Also listed under: 1 other name
Source: RNAcentral
UGUGUGUGUGUGUGUGUGU